This 88-nucleotide transfer RNA is filed under the name Eubacteriales Family XIII. Incertae Sedis bacterium. RNAcentral describes it as "tRNA-Leu". It matches the Rfam family "tRNA". From Rfam's summary of the family: Transfer RNA (tRNA) molecules are approximately 80 nucleotides in length. Their secondary structure includes four short double-helical elements and three loops (D, anti-codon, and T loops). Lineage: Bacteria; Bacillati; Bacillota; Clostridia; Peptostreptococcales; Anaerovoracaceae. The record is from RNAcentral.
GCCGCUGUGGUGGAACUUGGCAGACACAAAUGACUUAAAAUCAUUCGGAAGAGAUUCCGUACCGGUUCGAGUCCGGUCAGCGGCACCA